ACGAACGCUGGCGGCGUGCUUAACACAUGCAAGUCGAACGGUGAAGCGCCUUCCUUUUUGGUGGGUGUGGAUGAGUGGCGAACGGGUGAGUAACACGUGAGUAACCUGCCCCCUUCUUCUGGAUAACCGCAUGAAAGUGUGGCUAAUACGGGAUAUUCUGGGUCUGUCGCAUGAUGGGUCUGGGCAAGAUAUUGUUUCGGUGGGGGAUGGGCUCGCGGCCUAUCAGCUUGGUGGUGGGGUGAUGGCCUACCAAGGCGGUGACGGGUAGCCGGCCUGGGUGGGUGGACGGUCACACUGGGGCGGAGCGGCGGCCCAGACUCCUACGGGAGGCAGCAGUGGGGAAUAUUGCACAAUGGGCGGAAGCCUGAUGCAGCGACGCCGCGUGGGGGAUGGAGGCCUUCGGGUUGUGAACCUCUUUCGCCAGUGAAGCAGGCCUGCCUCGUUUGUGGGUGGGUUGACGGUAGCUGGAUAAGAAGCGCCGGCUAACUACGUG
Molecule: ribosomal RNA, 493 nt
Filed under: uncultured bacterium
Lineage: Bacteria
Description: partial 16S ribosomal RNA
Rfam family: Bacterial small subunit ribosomal RNA
Source: RNAcentral